CCGCUGAGCAAUAACAAGAAACUCUAGAAGACAAAGUUUCCACUAAAAGUUAAAUUAUUCAUGUGGUAUGUUCGUAGAGGUGUUGUGCUAACCAAAGACAACCUCGGACGACGCAACUGACCAGGAAGUAAGAAGUGUGGUUUUCGUACUCAUGACGAGACAAUCAAACACCUCUUUUUUCAAUGCAAGUUUGCGCGUUCUACAUGA
This 207-nucleotide ribosomal RNA is filed under the name Triticum aestivum (bread wheat). RNAcentral's name for it is "partial small subunit ribosomal RNA". Lineage: Eukaryota; Viridiplantae; Streptophyta; Magnoliopsida; Poales; Poaceae. The record is from RNAcentral.